Small nuclear RNA from Oryctolagus cuniculus (rabbit), 133 nucleotides. Its record names the gene U4. It matches the Rfam family "U4 spliceosomal RNA". From Rfam's summary of the family: U4 small nuclear RNA (U4 snRNA) is a component of the major U2-dependent spliceosome. The record is from Ensembl. Lineage: Eukaryota; Metazoa; Chordata; Mammalia; Lagomorpha; Leporidae.
AGCUUUGCACAGUGGCAGUAUCAUGCCAGUGAGGGUUACCUGAGGAACAAUUAUUGCUAAUAGAAAACCCCAAAAUGCACUGAAUCCCAAAGUUUUUUGAGAGUCAACAAAAUGCUCCAAGUGGAAAAUUCCA